Molecule: ribosomal RNA, 151 nt
Filed under: Salmo trutta (river trout)
Lineage: Eukaryota; Metazoa; Chordata; Actinopteri; Salmoniformes; Salmonidae
Description: 5.8S ribosomal RNA (ENSSTUG00000022914.1)
Rfam family: 5.8S ribosomal RNA
About the family: 5.8S ribosomal RNA (5.8S rRNA) is a component of the large subunit of the eukaryotic ribosome.
Source: RNAcentral
AACACUUAUCGGUGGAUCACUCGGCUCGUGCGUUGAUGAAGAACGCAGCUAGCUGCGAGAACUAAUGUGAAUUGCAGGACACAUUGAUCAUCGACACGGUUCCUCCUGGGGAACCCAGGUUCCUCCUGGGGCUACGUCUGUCUGAGGGUCG